RNAcentral lists this ribosomal RNA (406 nucleotides) under uncultured bacterium. RNAcentral describes it as "bacterial SSU rRNA". It matches the Rfam family "Bacterial small subunit ribosomal RNA", at positions 355 to 775 of the family's 1533-position model. The record is from RNAcentral.
UGGUGAAUAUUGGGCAAUGGGCGCAAGCCUGACCCAGCAACGCCGCGUGAGGGAAGAAGGCCUUCGGGUUGUAAACCUCUGUCCUUGGUGACGAAAAAAAUGACGGUAGCCAAGGAGGAAGCCCCGGCUAACUACGUGCCAGCAGCCGCGGUAAUACGUAGGGGGCGAGCGUUGUCCGGAAUUACUGGGCGUAAAGGGUGCGUAGGUGGCCUUUUAAGUUGGAUGUGAAAUACCCGGGCUUAACUUGGGGGGUGCAUCUAAUACUGGAGGGCUAGAGUGCAGGAGAGGGAAGCGGAAUUCCUAGUGUAGCGGUGAAAUGCGUAGAUAUUAGGAGGAACACCAGUGGCGAAGGCGGCUUUCUGGACUGUAACUGACACUGAGGCACGAAAGCGUGGGGAGCAAACAG